UCAAAUGAAUUGACGGGGAGCACCACAACGGGUGGAGCUUGUGGUUUAAUUGGAUUCAACGCCGGAAAUCUUACCGGGACCGACAGCAAUAUGAAGGCCAGGCUGAAGACUUUGCCGGAUUAGCUGAGAGGUGGUGCAUGGCCGUCGUCAGUUCGUACUGUGAAGCAUCCUGUUAAGUCAGGCAACGAGCGAGACCCACGCCCACAGUUGCCAGCGUACUCUCCGGAGUGACGGGUACACUGUGGGGACCGCCGCUGCUAAAGCGGAGGAAGGAAUGGGCAACGGUAGGUCAGUAUGCCCCGAAUAUCCCGGGCUACACGCGAGCUACAAUGGUUGGUACAAUGGGUAUCUACCCCGAAAGGGGACGGGAAUCUCCUAAAACCAAUCUUAGUUCGGAUUGAGGGCUGCAACUCGCCCUCAUGAAGCUGGAAUCCGUAGUAAUCGCGUUUCAACAGAACGCGGUGAAUACGUCCCUGCUCCUU
RNAcentral lists this ribosomal RNA (482 nucleotides) under uncultured Methanosaeta sp. RNAcentral's name for it is "bacterial SSU rRNA". It matches the Rfam family "Archaeal small subunit ribosomal RNA", at positions 856 to 1338 of the family's 1478-position model. The record is from RNAcentral. Lineage: Archaea; Methanobacteriati; Methanobacteriota; Methanomicrobia; Methanotrichales; Methanotrichaceae.